CCCCCCCGACGUGUCCACUCUUAUAAUUUAUAAAACUGCUCACUCUCUCAAAUUAAUUUUCAGGGAUCAUAUGGACAUUUGAUCCUAACGCUUGAUAAACAUGGGCAUUGUUCAAUUUGGCUGGAUGAUUCAAGUUAAAUAAUAAAACCAAAACUUUCAGCCCAGUAAUUUGAAGGAGGCAACAAGCUGAUGCAUCAACAAGCUCAUCCAAAAGGGUUCCCUCCAACAGAAGAGAAAGGCGACGGGGUAGCAGGGGCUGAGAAUCUACCAGCCAACCGUUGAUCCAUAUUUAUGGCACCAAAAGCACCUCCCUCAGUGCUAAAGCCUCCUACUCCCUGGGGCCUGGAAAGUGGCA
RNAcentral lists this unclassified non-coding RNA (355 nucleotides) under Hevea brasiliensis (rubber tree). Lineage: Eukaryota; Viridiplantae; Streptophyta; Magnoliopsida; Malpighiales; Euphorbiaceae. The record is from RNAcentral.